AUUUAAAUAGUUUAAUAAAAACAUUGACUUGUGGAGUCAAAAAUAUAAUUUAAUAUUAUUUUAGAUA
This 67-nucleotide transfer RNA is filed under the name Aloconota currax. Its description in RNAcentral is "tRNA-His". It matches the Rfam family "tRNA". Rfam says of the family: Transfer RNA (tRNA) molecules are approximately 80 nucleotides in length. Their secondary structure includes four short double-helical elements and three loops (D, anti-codon, and T loops). The record is from RNAcentral. Lineage: Eukaryota; Metazoa; Arthropoda; Insecta; Coleoptera; Staphylinidae.